Molecule: long non-coding RNA, 634 nt
Organism: Drosophila kikkawai
Lineage: Eukaryota; Metazoa; Arthropoda; Insecta; Diptera; Drosophilidae
Source: RefSeq, a predicted model, not a curated record
CAGGUGUGUCAGUAUAUUUUUCUGAAACCAUUCAGGUGUAUCUAUAUAUUUUUCUGAAACGAAAGAAAACAUUCUUUAAAUAAUAACAAACUCUAAAUAACAUUGAAACGAAUCAGAAUGAAUCGGAUUGAAAUUGCUGUAGCCUCGCCAGAAAGGCAACGCAUCGAUUUUGUUAUAUCGAAAAAUAUGCCACUCUAUAAGGUAAUGCAAGCUUACGCGGAUUAUUAUGGGAUCAAUCGUAGCACCUUAGAGUUCCGUUUACGGGGCCUAAGGGUUCGGAAUACUGAUACUGCCCGUCUUUUAAAUAUGCGUGCAAAGGAUAUUAUAACAGUUCAAAAUGUUCCGCAACAGGGACACUAAAUAAAUAAAUGAUAACUCUCUACAAGAAUUUAUGUUAAUUAAUAUUGGAAGCCAACAAAUCAGACUUUACAAGUUUGAAAUGAAGAUCCCUUUACUGGAAAUACCUUUCCAUCACAUAUCUCUCUCAUAAGGACACUGCUUGGGAUGCGUUUAAUUCAAGCAGAUGACUUCCUGCUCAAGAGCUGCAAAAAUAUAUUAUUACAAACAUUAUACAGUACAUUAUAUACAUUAUAUAAAUUUGUUGAAUAAAAAAUUCUCCCAAGAGAAAAACACA